This 468-nucleotide ribosomal RNA is filed under the name uncultured bacterium. RNAcentral's name for it is "partial 16S ribosomal RNA". It matches the Rfam family "Bacterial small subunit ribosomal RNA", at positions 28 to 507 of the family's 1533-position model. The record is from RNAcentral.
GACGAACGCUGGCGGCGUGCUUAACACAUGCCAGUCGAACGGAAAGGCCCUGCUUUUGUGGGGUGCCCGAGUGGCGAACGGGUGAGUAACACGUGAGUAACCUGCCCUUGACUUUGGGAUAACUUCAGGAAACUGGGGCUAAUACCGGAUAGGAGCUCCUGCUGCAUGGUGGGGGUUGGAAAGUUUCGGCGGUUGGGGAUGGACUCGCGGCUUAUCAGCUUGUUGGUGGGGUAGUGGCUUACCAAGUCUUUGACGGGUAGCCGGCCUGAGAGGGUGACCGGCCACAUUGGGACUGAGAUACGGCCCAGAGUCCUACGGGAGGCAGCAGUGGGGAAUAUUGCACAAUGGGCGGAAGCCUGAUGCAGCAACGCCGCGUGCGGGAUGACGGCCUUCGGGUUGUAAACCGCUUUCGCCUGUGACGAAGCGUGAGUGACGGUAAUGGGUAAAGAAGCACCGGCUAACUACGUG